This is a long non-coding RNA of Carcharodon carcharias (great white shark), 1631 nucleotides long. RefSeq lists it as uncharacterized. Lineage: Eukaryota; Metazoa; Chordata; Chondrichthyes; Lamniformes; Lamnidae. The record is from RefSeq and is a predicted model, not a curated record. The transcript is spliced from 3 exons.
GUUUCUUUGGAGAGAGAAACAGAGUUUUCGUGUCAAGUCUGUACGAUUCUUCUUCAGAGCUGUUUCAUUAUCAUCACCUUCCCGGUGCCCCCCGAUUCCUGUCAGGCUCACUCCAGGUGCCGAGUCUCUCCUCGGGUUGAACUAAACCUGCACCACAUCCAUCCAUCCCUCUUCUCAGAAGCUAUUUUGUGGUUUGUGUGUGGGGAACUCUCGCUCUUAUCUCAUUCUACAUGUAUAUUUCAGGAAUCUGGAUUGAAGUGUUGGUUGUCAUGACAGCAAAACUGUGAUAUCACAAUGAACGAGUAACUUGAAGCUGAAAAACAACUUUGCCACAUAAUGUUUCCACCCGGGAUCUUUCGCGUGUGAAGCCAACGUGAUAACCACUACACUAUGGAAACUCCUGUGACUAAGGCUGUUCUUCUUUCCCUUACCAACAUUGCAGGAGCCCAGCAAUGUAUGCCUUUUGAUUAUAGUUUCUGUGACCUUUAGCAGCAGAACAAGAUCCCAGCUCGCUGGGGCGCAUGCACCCAGGAAUAGAGGAGGGGCAACUGAGAAAAACAGUGAAGGGAUGAAUCUAAACCCCCCCCGUCUCCCAACGAGUGGAAGGGGAGAGGAGAAGAGGGGUAGAGGGGAGACGGAGCUGUGUCCGAUGACUCAGCUGGCUUGCAGACAGGGACUCACUGGGCUGCUCAUGUCUGGAGCACCAGAAGAAGCAUACCCGUUGUCCCCUUUUGCAUCCCUGGGCAAUGCGAGGUGAUGGAGCAGCCCCGAUUAUAGCCAGGGGGAGGCGAAGGAGAGCAAGUUUCCCAAGGCGAAUUUAGACAUUGUCGAUGGAAAAUCUUUGCCCUGCCCAACAUCACAGAGAGGCUGGCACGGUUCGAGGGGCUGAAUGGCCUCAUUCUGCGCUGUAACCCUAUCCUUCUGUAUUUGUCCCUCAAUGCACACAGCUUGCAAAAAACAAGUCAAACUGCUGCAGAUGCUGGAAAGCUGAAAUAAAAAGAGAGAGCGACGUAAAGACUCAGCAGGUCAGACAGCAUCUCGCAGACGGAGAAGCAAGAAAUGACCCUUCGUCAGAAUAAUAGCUAAGACUCUAACUCUUAGUUCUCACCCAGGCUGCCUGCGUUGCUGAGCAUUUCCAGCAUUUUCUGUUUCGUUCCAAGCCUGCCAAAGGGUUUUUCAGUGGUCCCGGGUGGUCCUAUCUGGUUGUGAACCGACUGCCUGUUUCCAACCACCAGCUGCCUGCCCACUGUAAUCCAGACUGGUUGCGGAGUGCCACCAGACAUAAAGGGAGCUCUGCAAUCCACCAUGGCUCAGCUGGUAGUGCACUCCCCUUUCACCUCUGAAUCACCAAGGUGCCUGGGUUCGAGGCCCACUGUGGACCUUGAGCAUAAAAGACAAAGAUGACACUCCAGCGCAGUACCGCAGGAGCACCACCCUGUCGGAAGUGCUGAUUUUCGACUGACGUGCAAACCCAGGAGGAGGAGGGGCCCCCAUCUGCAUCGGUCGGAUGUUAAAGAUCUCGUGGCACUAUUUGGAAGGAAGAAGGGCAAGGGACGCUCCCCAUUCCCCUCCCCCCCAAAAAAUCUUAGAUCAAAGCAAAAUACCGCAGGCGCUGCCUGGAAACCUGAAAC